This 48-nucleotide non-coding RNA is filed under the name Schistosoma mattheei. Lineage: Eukaryota; Metazoa; Platyhelminthes; Trematoda; Strigeidida; Schistosomatidae. The record is from RNAcentral.
AUCCAGAUGACGAGUCUGAAAUAAGACGAAGCGCGCACCGAACUGGAU